CUUGUUUUCUUUCUUCUUUUUCGUCCUAUGCCCUCUAGCGACACAAGCCAUAAUAACACAACACAGACUCCAGAUGUGCCAAAAUUUCAAAUAUGCAAACUGUGAUGCAUGGCUAUUAACUAAAACUCUUGUUUCACUGUGUGGUUUGCUGUACGCAGCUCAAACCAGAGGAUAGUUAUGCCAAUAUCAUACGUAGCUGAGUCCCUGGUUAAGUUCUUCGAGGAUAUCUGGACUUGCACAUCAGUAAGGGAUUGGGAGGAAACUAAGAGGUUAGAGGAUGAAUGGAGGAGUGGAUGGGAUUAGACAGACCAAUGUCACAUUGCUUAUGAAUUCGGUCGUUUUUAACUUUACUCAAAUGGGGAGGGCACUCUGUCCUUGUGUCGUAGUAUUUGUCUUAACUUGCCUAGUUAAGAUAAAUGUUUAUUGUGUUACUUAUGCAUAUAGGCUGUACCUGUAAACAUAGUGCAUCAUGCAACAGUACUGGAUCUUUGA
Molecule: non-coding RNA, 492 nt
Organism: Aegilops tauschii subsp. strangulata
Lineage: Eukaryota; Viridiplantae; Streptophyta; Magnoliopsida; Poales; Poaceae
Source: RefSeq, a predicted model, not a curated record